Bolinopsis microptera is the source of this 106-nucleotide small nuclear RNA. The record is from RefSeq and is a predicted model, not a curated record. NCBI's taxonomy places the organism in Eukaryota, Metazoa, Ctenophora, Tentaculata, Lobata, Bolinopsidae.
GUGCAUAUAGUUAAACUAAAAGUAAAAUUGGAACGAUACAGAAAAGAUUAGCAUGGCCCCUGGGCAAGGAUAAAAUGGCAUAAAUUAAGAGACUUUCUCUAUGGAG